CACCUAAAAGCUAGCCCCCCCCCCCCAAACACAAAAAACAACUAUUAAUACCCCCAAACGACCCCAAUUUAACAAAACAAACCAUUUUUCCCCCUUAGUACAGGCGAUAGAAAAGGACCCUAAGAGCUACAGAAAAAGUACCGUAAGGGAAUGCUGAAAAAGAAAUGAAACAACCCAGCAAAGUAUGAAAAAGCAAAGAUUAAAACUUGUACCUUUUGCAUCAUGAUUUAGCUAGAAAAGAUUAGGCAAAGAGCCCUUCAGUCUAACACCCCGAAACUAGACGAGCUACUCCAAGACAGCCUUAUAGGGCACACCCGUCUCUGUGGCAAAAGAGUGGGAAGAACUUUGAGUAGAGGUGACAAACCUACCGAGUCUAGUAAUAGCUGGUUGCCCGAGAACUGAGUUUAAGCUCAGCUUUUUGAUUUCUUACCUCAACUCCGCACUAGCGAAACCGACCCCAAGAAAUCAAAAAAGUUAAUCAAAAGAGGUACAGCUCUUUUGAUAAAAGAAACAACUUUUUAAGGAGAAUAAGGAUCAUAAUAACCAAGGCCACAUGCUUAAGUGGGCCUAAAAGCAGCCACCCAAUAGAAAGCGUUAAAGCUCAAGCAUACCCCCGCCACCAAUACCGAUAGCCCAUCCUAACCCCUAGCCCCUACCGGGCCUUUCUAUGCCAACAUAGAAGAGAUCAUGCUAAUAUGAGUAAUAAGGGGCCUGCCCCCCUCCAGACACAAGUGUACCCCAGAACGAACCCCCGCCGAAAAUUAACGAGCCCAAUCAAAGAGGGUAGUGGGAACUAAACCAAACAACAAGAAAAACACCCACCAACUCCCCGUUAACCCCACACUGGUGUGUCCAAACGGAAAGACUAAAAGAAAAAGAAGGAACUCGGCAAACCCCAGCCUCGCCUGUUUACCAAAAACACCGCCUCUUGCAAAAACAAUGAAUAAGAGGUCCCGCCUGCCCUGUGACUAUAAGUUUAACGGCCGCGGUAUUUUGACCGUGCAAAGGUAGCGCAAUCACUUGUCCUUUAAAUGAGGACCUGUAUGAAUGGCACGACGAGGGCCAAACUGUCUCCUUUUUCAAGUCAAUGAAAUUGAUCCCCCCGUGCAGAAGCGGGGAUAAAAACAUAAGACGAGAAGACCCUAUGGAGCUUUAGAUAUAAAACAGCCCAUGUCAAAUCACCACAUAAAAGAAAUAAACCAAAUGGCCCCUGUUUGAAUAUCUUUGGUUGGGGCGACCGCGGGGAAACAAAAAACCCCCAUGUGGAAUAAAAACACCCUUUUUAAAACCAAGAGCCACCACUCAAAUAAACAGAAUCUCUGACCAACCCGAUCCGGACCCCCCGAUCAACGAACCGAGUUACCCUAGGGAUAACAGCGCAAUCUUCUUUUAGAGCCCAUAUCGACAAGAAGGUUUACGACCUCGAUGUUGGAUCAGGACAUCCUAAUGGUGCAGCCGCUAUUAAGGGUUCGUUUGUUCAACGAUUAAAGUCCUACGUGAUCUGAGUUCAGACCGGAGCAAUCCAGGUCAGUUUCUAUCUAUGAAGUGAUCUUUUCCAGUACGAAAGGACCGAAAAGAAAAGGCCUCUACUAAAGGUACGCCUUACUCUCACCCCCUGCCCCCAACUAAAGGGGGCAAGAGAGCACAAAAAUCAGCUAAAGAACAUAACAU
Molecule: ribosomal RNA, 1671 nt
Filed under: Carinotetraodon lorteti (redeye puffer)
Lineage: Eukaryota; Metazoa; Chordata; Actinopteri; Tetraodontiformes; Tetraodontidae
Description: 16S rRNA
Rfam family: Bacterial large subunit ribosomal RNA
Source: RNAcentral